Solanum dulcamara is the source of this 1035-nucleotide long non-coding RNA. RefSeq lists it as uncharacterized. The transcript is spliced from 3 exons. The record is from RefSeq and is a predicted model, not a curated record. Lineage: Eukaryota; Viridiplantae; Streptophyta; Magnoliopsida; Solanales; Solanaceae.
AACCAUUUUUUCUUUUAUUGUGAAGCGCUAUGGUUGAAAAUAUUGAAGGCUAAAAUUCUGACUCAACUCUUGAGAUUUCUUCUCCAAUAUCUUUAUUGAAGUUGAAGGAUUCAAGUGUUGAUCUACUGUCUUAUACAAAUAAUUAAAGAAAAACUAUAUUGAUGAUUUCAACUUGUUAGACGGUUAUGAUUAAGAGUUGAAGGAUAGUAUUCCUGGUACAGAUUUAAUAUAAACAUACCAAAAAAUGCUUUGAUGGAAGAAAAAAAACUUCUUUGAAUGUAUGUGUGCUUCCAAGAUUUGAAAAGUGAUUGUGGAACACUUCUAUCCACUUGCUUGGAUAGUGACAGAUAAAAAAUAUGUAGAACUUGAAAGUGGUUAUCGAGCUAUUGAAAUCGCAUAGAAACGUGGAAAAGGUUCCGUGAAAGGAUUUCCAGCAGCUUCAAGCUGUUCUUCUUCAUCCAAGCGUUUCAAUUUGAGAAUUCAAAUGAAAUUGGUAUGUUCAUCACAUCCGUUCAACUUCGAAAUCACAGUUGCAACUUGAAACCUCCAAAAUUCUUUCAGGUUGGAAUCGAAACUACGUCAGGGCGAUUAUGCUUCAUCUGGUCAUGCUUGUCAAAGGUCUACCAAGCUGAAAUCUUCAAGAGGAAAACAGAGGAAUUGAAGAGGUGUAGAGUUAAAAAAAUGAUGUGAUGGUAUGCUCGGAACACUUAUAAAAAAGAAUUCGGGGAUCAAGAGGAGAUGAAGAACUGAUUUGAAAAGGCCGCUAUAGAACUAAUAUGGUACUUAUACCAAAAUUGGUGAAAUGCUUACUUUGAUACCAAAUGCAAGAAUGAAAUAGUUGACAACAACAUUACAGAAUCAUUCAACAAAAGAAUUCUACAAGCGAGACACAGGUCAAUAAUCAUAAUGUUAGAGGAUUAUAGAGUUGAGAUAUUUUGCUAGUUCUUUUUACUUACCCUCAUGUUUUAGCUUUCACUUGUCUAGUUUAUGUCAUCAAUUACUUCCUAUUAUGAUUGAUAGUUUCUAUUAUUAGAA